This 513-nucleotide long non-coding RNA is filed under the name Olea europaea subsp. europaea. The record is from RNAcentral. Lineage: Eukaryota; Viridiplantae; Streptophyta; Magnoliopsida; Lamiales; Oleaceae.
GUGAAUUGAUGUUUAAUUUGUGACACACCUGGAAUAUACUUAAAUUUGAAAUGAUUCUAGAAUUUUUACCCUUAGAUGAUUACUAUCAACUAAAGUUCUUCCUCCCUGAGAAGGUGAGGAACUUUGUUUCUUUCAAUCACGGGAAAACAUUUCGUUUAACUCUAUCUUCUCUUCUUGAAAUGGGCUAUCAGGUAGACGUUUUUGCUUUCACCACCAACUGAUGAACUUUUACGUUCUAUAAAUAAAGUUCGCUUGUUGCAUAAAUCACUAGAGCAUAUGGUGUUCCUCACUCCCAGAAGUGAGCAUUUAUAUGGGUGACCUAUCCUGAGAAGUCCCAUCCCGAAUGGACUAGAACCAAUGCACGUUUUAGCUGCACCAGCAUUGAAAAUCAAGAUGUCUCAAUUUAUAUCAUGCUGUAUGCUGCUAUAAGGAGUAUGGUUAGUGAAGCACUCUGAUGUUGAUAGUGGGGCUUCUAAGACCAGUCUAUUGGUAAGUCCUGCUUAUGAUCCAUGG